GCCGGUCUACGCGAUCCGGGCCGCGUUGCCGCUGAUGCCGGCAACCGGCUCGAUCGUGCUGACCGGCGGGCA
RNAcentral lists this transfer RNA (72 nucleotides) under Burkholderia cepacia. RNAcentral's name for it is "tRNA-Ile(gat)". The record is from RNAcentral. Lineage: Bacteria; Pseudomonadati; Pseudomonadota; Betaproteobacteria; Burkholderiales; Burkholderiaceae.